RNAcentral lists this transfer RNA (86 nucleotides) under Bacteroidales bacterium. RNAcentral describes it as "tRNA-Leu". It matches the Rfam family "tRNA". From Rfam's summary of the family: Transfer RNA (tRNA) molecules are approximately 80 nucleotides in length. Their secondary structure includes four short double-helical elements and three loops (D, anti-codon, and T loops). Further hydrogen bonds mediate the characteristic L-shaped molecular structure. tRNAs have two regions of fundamental functional importance: the anti-codon, which is responsible for specific mRNA codon recognition, and the 3' end, to which the tRNAs corresponding amino acid is attached (by aminoacyl-tRNA synthetases). tRNAs cope with the degeneracy of the genetic code in two manners: having more than one tRNA (with a specific anti-codon) for a particular amino acid; and 'wobble' base-pairing, i.e. permitting non-standard base-pairing at the 3rd anti-codon position. Lineage: Bacteria; Pseudomonadati; Bacteroidota; Bacteroidia; Bacteroidales. The record is from RNAcentral.
GCCCAGAUGGCGGAAUUGGUAGACGCGCUAGGUUGAGGGCCUAGUGACCUUAUUUUGUCGUGCAAGUUCGAUUCUUGUUCUGGGCA